Apis mellifera (honey bee) is the source of this 2836-nucleotide long non-coding RNA. RefSeq lists it as uncharacterized. The record is from RefSeq and is a predicted model, not a curated record. NCBI's taxonomy places the organism in Eukaryota, Metazoa, Arthropoda, Insecta, Hymenoptera, Apidae. The transcript has 5 exons.
GGUUCGCGCGGCGGUUGGCCGAUUUCACUUCGACCCACGCGCCAAUUCCGCUUGUAUCAGUGAUGGUGAUACACUGUCAUUGCAUUGAAAGUCAAGUUUGUGGAUAAUAAUGGACUCGAGAUCGUUCCAUUCCUUAUAUUUUCCUUCCGAUUAUAUUUAUUGCGAUUUCCAUCAAACUAAAAUAAAAUAACCUCGAUUACAUUCUCUUAAGAAAUCUUAUUAUACUCAACGAGUGAAGUUUUGUCCUUUUCCAACGAUGGAAACCUUAAAGAAAGAAUUAUUAUAUUUUCCAAACAUUGUUAUAACAACGGAUGCAAACGUUCGUAUAAAUUCGAUUCUUCCUAUAUAUAUAUAACCGGUUUCAUUUUAUCGUCUUAAGGAGCAAGGAACACGAGAGAGAGAGAGUGGAGGUUAGAAGAGAGAUCGCGUGACGGAGAGUUUUCGCCAUUGGGUAUGGAAUACGCAACGCUGUUUCCAUGCACACGCGAUAUUAUCCGGGUGAUCGAACGCGGAGAGCGUGUAUGCAUUCGUUUCGUGACGCACGUGGCCGUUUCAAAGUUCGCCCAUCGGGCGAUAUACUUGCGAGAUAAUCGGGCCGGCUCUCGUUUUGUCCCUUCGUGAAAAUGGCCAAUAUGUCCGCCCGGCCAAUUUAGUGUGCAAUUUGUAACAGUGUUCGAAUUAAUAUCGGCGGUAACGGAAGCUCGGUGUAGAGCGUGUUGGCGUAGAUUUUGAAAGAAGUAGUUAUUGGAGCUUUCUUGUCUAGACUCCACGGAUGUGAAGCUGAUGUCUCUCUCUCUCUCUGUGUUUGCAACCACUCUCCUGAUUACGUGCACCGCUAUUUACACUGCUCUCAGUCGAGAUUUUCAAUGUCGAGGGGGUAAUUCCUUCGACUGUCGUGGAAUCUUUCGCGCACAGCUCUGAAAGAAGAACGUAAAUAAUUCCGCGCAAGCGUUGGAAUAUGUCAACAACGUUUCCAUCCUUCCUCCAUCCGCGGUACCAUCGGUUUUUUAGCAAGUGGAUCGAAUUGGUUCGAGCCUCGAACGAAACACAAAAGGAAACAUAAGUUGCUCGAGUAGAAAUAAUUUUGGAAAACGAAGAAGUUUGGACGCAGAUUUCCAAGAUUUUCCAGAUUUCCAUUCUUAAUUUGCUCUUAAUAUAUUGUUUAUAUAUGCGAGCAAAUUAUUUCAUCUUUUGUACCCAGAAUCUGGAGGAUUAAAGCGCACAAUCUGAUCGAACGAUAGCGAUAGCGUGUUCUGAAAAGCGUACAGAAUAAACCUAUUUCAUCCUUUUGUUUCGUGGAUUCGCAUCUCUUGCAAAGGAAUUAUCAUCCUGUUUCUGACAGUGGUGGGCAAAGAAUACAAAAGGCGUAGCCGGAAGAAAAGUGGCUGCAUUGCACACGUACAAAGGGAUAAAAACGAUUCCCCCGCAUUGUUCCAGCUCUGGACUCGUUAUCGCUAUCCAAGGAAAUCUCCAAGGUGGACGGAAUAGAAAUCGAAGGAAGGGAGAAGAAGGAGGAGGAGGAGGAAAGGAAGACGAAGUGGAGGAGAUGGGUUCACAAUCGCCAUUAUGCGCACUCGGUGAAUUCCAUUAGGAGAGAAGAAGCUUUAUCAGUGCGCUCGAUGCUGGCACAAGUCAAAUGUCAUUUCUGUCUCGCUGAAUCUUGUCGCUGAAAACUCGACAUCUAAACCUGUCACCACCCUUUCUAUCGUCGAUCGGUACAAAGGGUGUCGAGAUCGAAUCAAAUUAAAAUUGUAAAAAUUAAAAGUGUAGAGGAAUUUCGAUACCUUGGAGUUUUUCAAAAAUAGAUUAAAUUGCAAAUUGUAUGUUUGAAGUGUAAUUGAUAAUAAUUUGAAGGAUAAAUUUGAGGAAAUGAAUGGAACGAAAGUAACCCAUAAAAUUCUAGAUGGCGCUGAAACGAAUUUGAGAUGUUAUUGAAAAAAAAGAACACUAUACAUAUCACUUCCACAGGAAGUACUUGGGUACAACAGUUUUCUAACAAACGAAGAGGAGGAGGAAGAGAAGGUGAACUUGGAGCUUUGAAAUCACGACCGCUUCAUUAAGCAAGAAAGAGGUUCGAGAUAGAGAGAUUGCCGCUACGACGCCUGCCAGGAUAAUUUAUCACCAACCCUCCGUGGCCUGUGGAGGCUCGUUUCGAUGAGUUACGACGCGUUGAAUCUGUUCCUCCUUUUUUACCGCCCAUAAAACUCUGAUCGACGAGGCUGCCACGUGUAGUAAAGUCCAGCCACGGAGGAUCGAAAAUCUGCAAUCACGAUUAUUGAUGAAAUUCUAGUACAGGUGUCGAUUAGGCGAGGGAAAAGAGUUUAAAUUAUACGAAGAGAACAAUUUUUCAAGAUGCGUAAUCGUAUAAUUUGUUUAGGAACGGUACGAAUUUAGGAGAGGUUUCGAAAGUUAGAAUUAUAAAAUGAUGGUGAUAAAGUUUAUUAAGAUUGGAUAUUUAAAAAUCGGAUAUUAUCGCGAAUCCAACUCGUAUAAUCGAAUCGAUACACGUAUAUCAACGUCGUGUCUGGUAGUUACGGAAGAUUAAUGGAACGGAACGAUUCCGUGUAUUUAUCCGAAUAAAAGUCGCGUUACGAGAAUGUCGAUAUUUCAAUCGAUAAUGCAUGAAGUUUUAUUAAUAAUAUAAAGCAGAGAUUGAAAUCUACGAUAAGACGUAUUUUUAUUUAUUCAUAAGAUUUUUGUAAUUGUAUGCGUGAAAGAUAUUUCCAGACUAUUAUAAAUUUAUUAAACCACUUUUCUUAUCACGAGAUGCAUCAUGUAUUUAUGUAUUUGUGAAGUUUUAUUAAUAAUAUAAAGCAGAGAUUUAAAUCUACGAUAA